CCUACGGGUGGCAGCAGUGAGGAAUAUUGGUCAAUGGACGAGAGUCUGAACCAGCCAAGUAGCGUGAAGGAUGACUGCCCUAUGGGUUGUAAACUUCUUUUAUAUGGGAAUAAAACGUUCCACGUGUGGGAUUUUGUAUGUACCAUAUGAAUAAGGCUCGGCUAACUCCGUGCCAGCAGCCGCGGUAAUACGGAGGAUCCGAGCGUUAUCCGGAUUUAUUGGGUUUAAAGGGAGCGUAGGUGGAUUGUUAAGUCAGUUGUGAAAGUUUGCGGCUCAACCGUAAAAUUGCAGUUGAAACUGGCAGUCUUGAGUACAGUAGAGGUGGGCGGAAUUCGUGGUGUAGCGGUGAAAUGCUUAGAUAUCACGAAGAACUCCGAUUGCGAAGGCAGUUCACUGGACUGCAACUGACACUGAGGCUCGAAAGUGUGGGUAUCAAACAGGAUUAGAUACCCCAGUAGUC
This 460-nucleotide ribosomal RNA is filed under the name uncultured bacterium. Its description in RNAcentral is "partial 16S ribosomal RNA". It matches the Rfam family "Bacterial small subunit ribosomal RNA", at positions 338 to 795 of the family's 1533-position model. The record is from RNAcentral.